This 215-nucleotide unclassified non-coding RNA is filed under the name Hevea brasiliensis (rubber tree). Lineage: Eukaryota; Viridiplantae; Streptophyta; Magnoliopsida; Malpighiales; Euphorbiaceae. The record is from RNAcentral.
UCUUUCUAGUUCCUAGUUCUAAGUCUUUACUUAAGCACACCAUUAAAUUCUUCUUAUAGUUGUUAUUUACUGUAGACUUAUUCAAUUUGGCAUCCGAAUUUUCUUCUUUCAUAUGGUUUCAAGUUUUAAAUGUUAAAUUAUUUACUUAAGCACUGUUAAAUUAUAUAUGGAACUAUUACUUAUGUCCUAGUCAUAGUUAUUAAGGCGAAAGGCGA